AUUCCGGUUGAUCCUGCCGGAGGACAUUGCUAUUGGGAUUCGAUUUAGCCAUGCUAGUCGAGCGAGUUUAGACUCGCGGCGAAUAGCUCAGUAACACGUGGCCAAGCUCCCCUUCAGUCAGCGAUACCCUCGGGAAACUGAGGUUAACAGCUGAUACAAAACGCCAGCUGGAAUGCGGCGUUUCAGAAAGACAUCGCUGAAGGAUGCGGCUGCGGCCGACUAGGUAGACGGUGGGGUAACGGCCCACCGUGCCAGUAAUCGGUACGGGUGAUGAGAGUCAGAGCCCGGAGACGGAAUCUGAGACAAGAUUCCGGGCCCUACGGGGCGCAGCAGGCGCGAAACCUUUACACUGCACGGAAGUGCGAUAGGGGAAUCCCAAGUGCGAGGGCAUAUUAGCCCUCGCUUUUCUCGACUGUAAGGUGGUCGACGAAUAAGAGCUGGGCAAGACCGGUGCCAGCCGCCGCGGUAAUACCGGCAGCUCAAGUGAUGUCCCAUAUUAUUGGGCCUAAAGCGUCCGUAGCUA
RNAcentral lists this ribosomal RNA (523 nucleotides) under uncultured haloarchaeon. RNAcentral describes it as "bacterial SSU rRNA". It matches the Rfam family "Archaeal small subunit ribosomal RNA", at positions 1 to 527 of the family's 1478-position model. The record is from RNAcentral. Lineage: Archaea; Methanobacteriati; Methanobacteriota; Halobacteria; Halobacteriales; Halobacteriaceae.